Molecule: ribosomal RNA, 491 nt
Filed under: Eubranchipus sp.
Lineage: Eukaryota; Metazoa; Arthropoda; Branchiopoda; Anostraca; Chirocephalidae
Description: partial 16S ribosomal RNA
Rfam family: Bacterial large subunit ribosomal RNA
Source: RNAcentral
GGCCUUAUAUAUUUUUAAGGUCUGACCUGCCCACUGACAAUUUGAAGGGCCGUGGUAUAUUGACCAUGCGAAGGUAGCAUAAUCACUUGCCUCUUAAUUAGGGGCUAGAAUGAAGGGUUGGACGAGGGACCUUCUGUCUCUAGUGUUUAUUUGAAAUUAAUUACUGGGUGAAAAAGCUUAGAUUUUCUUGUAGGGCGAUAAGACCCUAUGGAUCUUUAUAAAUUUACUCGUAGAAUUUGGUUGUUAAAAUCUUAGAGGAAUUUUAUUGUGUUGGGGCGACACUGAGAGUAGUUAUAUCUCUCAGUUUAAUAAUUCAUAUAUUUAUGUGUUAAGAUCCUUAAAUGAAAUUAGAUUAAGUUACCCUAGGGAUAACAGCGUUAUAUCUUUUGAGAGUUCAUAUCGACAAAGAUGAUUACGACCUCGAUGUUGGUUCAGGGAACCUAUAGGGUGCAGUAACUUUAAAAGGAGGUCUGUUCGACCUUUAAAUCCCU